Molecule: ribosomal RNA, 494 nt
Filed under: uncultured bacterium
Lineage: Bacteria
Description: partial 16S ribosomal RNA
Rfam family: Bacterial small subunit ribosomal RNA
Source: RNAcentral
GACGAACGCUGGCGGCGUGCUUAACACAUGCAAGUCGAACGGAAAGGCCUGCUUUCCCUUGUGGAUUGCGGGUACUCGAGUGGCGAACGGGUGAGUAACACGUGAGUGAUCUGCCCCCAACUUGGGUAUAAGCCUGGGAAACUGGGUCUAAUUCCCGAUAGGACUGCAGGGUGGUGCCUGUGGUGGAAAACGAUUUUCUAGUGGGUGGGGAUGAGCUCGCGGCCUAUCAGCUUGUUGGUGGGGUAAUGGCCUACCAAGGCGGCGACGGGUAGCCGGCCUGAGAGGGUGGACGGCCACAGUGGGACUGAGAUACGGCCCAGACUCCUACGGGAAGCAGCAGUGGUGAAUAAUGCACAAUGGGCGGAAGCCUGAAGCAGCGACGCCGCGUGGGGGAUGACGGCCUUCGGGUUGUAAACUCCUUGCGACCGCGAGGAAGCCACCUGGUUGGAAGGGUGGUGACGGUAGUGGUAGAAGAAGCACCGGCUAACUACGUG